CUGGUAUCAGGCACAAUAUAAAGCCCAUAACACCUUGCUUAGCCACACCCCCAAGGGAACUCAGCAGUGAUAGACAUUAAGCAAUAAGUGAAAACUUGACUUAAUUAAGGCUAAGAGAACCGGUUAAACUCGUGCCAGCCACCGCGGUUAUACGAGAGGUUCAAGCUGAUAGAUAACGGCGUAAAGAGUGGUUAAUUUAAAAGAGAAGCUAAAGUGGAAUGUUUUCAAAGCUGUUAUACGCACCCGAAAAUAAGAAGACCAAGAACGAAAGUAACUUUAACUUUAUGAAUCCACGAAAACUAUGAAACAAACUGGGAUUAGAUACCCCACUAUGCAUAGCUGUAAACUUUGAUGAACUAUUACAUUAUCAUUCGCCAGGGUACUACGAGCACCAGCUUAAAACCCAAAGGACUUGGCGGUGCUUUAGACCCACCUAGAGGAGCCUGUUCUAGAACCGAUAACCCCCGUUAAACCUCACCCUCCCUUGUUCUUUCC
Molecule: ribosomal RNA, 495 nt
Filed under: Oryzias latipes (Japanese medaka)
Lineage: Eukaryota; Metazoa; Chordata; Actinopteri; Beloniformes; Adrianichthyidae
Description: partial 12S ribosomal RNA
Rfam family: Bacterial small subunit ribosomal RNA
Source: RNAcentral